Podarcis lilfordi (Lilford's wall lizard) is the source of this 71-nucleotide non-coding RNA. Lineage: Eukaryota; Metazoa; Chordata; Lepidosauria; Squamata; Lacertidae. The record is from the annotation of a GenBank genome assembly.
CAGCUCAGCUGGUAGAGUAUGACACUCUAAAUCUCAUGGUCAUGGGUUCGAUUCCCAAAUUGGGCAAAAGA